GGUCUAUGUGAGAGGUCAAGUUUUUGUAUUGGAGUCAAUGAAAUUUCUUAAAUCUUUUAAGAAAGAUCUUUGUUUCGGCCAAUUGUGUGGAGGAUGUGGACCCACUCCCCUAUUCUUCUCUCCCAAAUUUACUAAAGGAAAUAAUGUUGAAAAAAAAAAAAGGAGAUUCUUUCAUUCCUCGUAUUGGGGUAAACUAUUCUAAUAAAAUGAAUGGUUUUUCCAUAUAUUUAACCACUUGAAUAACUAACUAAAAGCAUAAGAAACACAUGCUAAAUAAACAAGAAAUUAGGAAUUGUGCCUAUUGCUUAUAUCGUGAGCAAUUCUGGGCUGCACCGCAUAAGAACUCCCACUAAUCCUGUUGGCCAAGGCUUGGACUAGUUUGACAUGCUUCUGACUGAAGAUCAACCUCCCAAUGAUUGAGGCAACUGACCCAUGUCUUGCUCAUAACUCUUCUACAUUAAUCCAACAUGUUAGAGUGUUUAGCAUGGUUUGGCAUAAUCUGAUCUGGCCUGGUCAUGCAACAACUUGCACUGGACAUGACUUGAUCAAAAAUUGGUGCGUCAACAUAGGAGUCUCGGUCACACCUUGGUGCACCAGCAGCAACUCUUGGCGUAUCAGUGUUUUCUGGUUUGGGCGCGUCAAGCUCAGCCUUGUGUAUAAAACAAGGGGACUUGGUCAUUUGAGUGUUAUGGCUAGGCACAACUUCAUCUUGGC
RNAcentral lists this long non-coding RNA (714 nucleotides) under Lupinus angustifolius (narrow-leaved blue lupine). RNAcentral describes it as "long non-coding RNA (LANG_LNC000718)". The record is from RNAcentral. Lineage: Eukaryota; Viridiplantae; Streptophyta; Magnoliopsida; Fabales; Fabaceae.